GGUAGGUUCGAAUUUGAACCCAGAAGAAAACGGAAUCGAAAAUUUCUGAUAUGGAUGGUCUAUAACAAGUUACGAGCACUUUCCGCCAUUGCCACUUUAUUCUGCCUUGGCUGGUUGCUGUGAUUCUGUGAAGCGAUUGGUUUCUUGGAGAGACAGGAGAAACUGAUCCCUGAAUGCCGGAGACGGAGAGAGACGGCGGCCGAC
This 204-nucleotide unclassified non-coding RNA is filed under the name Hevea brasiliensis (rubber tree). Lineage: Eukaryota; Viridiplantae; Streptophyta; Magnoliopsida; Malpighiales; Euphorbiaceae. The record is from RNAcentral.